UACGUAGGGUGCGAGCGUUAAUCGGAAUUACUGGGCGUAAAGCGUGCGCAGGCGGUUCGUUAAGUCAGAUGUGAAAGCCCCGGGCUCAACCCGGGAACUGCGUCCGAUACUGGCUGGCUUGAAUCCGGGAGAGGGAUGCGGAAUUCCAGGUGUAGCGGUGAAAUGCGUAGAUAUCUGGAGGAACACCGGUGGCGAAGGCGGGUCUCUGGGCCGAUACUGACGCUGAGGAGCGAAAGCGUGGGGAGCGAACAGG
RNAcentral lists this ribosomal RNA (253 nucleotides) under uncultured bacterium. Its description in RNAcentral is "partial 16S ribosomal RNA". It matches the Rfam family "Bacterial small subunit ribosomal RNA", at positions 524 to 776 of the family's 1533-position model. The record is from RNAcentral.